UUCCCACGUAGUGCCAUCUAGUAAAUAA
Molecule: small RNA, 28 nt
Filed under: Bombyx mori (domestic silkworm)
Lineage: Eukaryota; Metazoa; Arthropoda; Insecta; Lepidoptera; Bombycidae
Description: ovarian small RNA-9565
Source: RNAcentral